Molecule: ribosomal RNA, 253 nt
Filed under: uncultured bacterium
Lineage: Bacteria
Description: partial 16S ribosomal RNA
Rfam family: Bacterial small subunit ribosomal RNA
Source: RNAcentral
UACGAAGGGGGCUAGCGUUGUUCGGAAUUACUGGGCGUAAAGCGUGCGCAGGCGGCUUCUCAAGUCAGGGGUGAAAGCCCAGAGCUCAACUCUGGAAUUGCCUUUGAGACUGAGUGCCUUGAGUACGAGAGAGGUGAGUGGAAUUCCCAGUGUAGAGGUGAAAUUCGUAGAUAUUGGGAAGAACACCGGUGGCGAAGGCGGCUCACUGGCGCGUAACUGACGCUCAGGCACGACAGCGUGGGGAUCAAACAGG